AACGAACGCUGGCGGCAGGCUUAACACAUGCAAGUCGAACGCCCCGCAAGGGGAGUGGCAGACGGGUGAGUAACACGUGGGGAUCUGCCCAAUGGUACGGAAUAGCUCCGGGAAACUGGAAUUAAUACCGUAUGUGCCCGCAAGGGGAAAGAUUUAUCGCCAUUGGAUGAACCCGCGUCGGAUUAGCUAGUUGGUGUGGUAAAGGCGCACCAAGGCGACGAUCCGUAGCUGGUCUGAGAGGAUGAUCAGCCACACUGGGACUGAGACACGGCCCAGACUCCUACGGGAGGCAGCAGUGGGGAAUAUUGGACAAUGGGCGCAAGCCUGAUCCAGCCAUGCCGCGUGAGUGAUGAAGGCCUUAGGGUUGUAAAGCUCUUUCGCCGACGAAGAUAAUGACGGUAGUCGGAGAAGAAGCCCCGGCUAACUUCGUGCCAGCCGCCGCCGUAAAAC
Molecule: ribosomal RNA, 450 nt
Filed under: uncultured bacterium
Lineage: Bacteria
Description: bacterial SSU rRNA
Rfam family: Bacterial small subunit ribosomal RNA
Source: RNAcentral